ACCUCUCUGUGCGUCGGUUUCCAUAUCUGCCCAGUGGCUUCCCUUUCAGCUCUGUCAGGGACCAAGACAGGAGUGUCCAGACAUUUCAGCUACAGAUCUCUCUGUGGAGCAGUUUCAGGGGAAACCUGAAACUUGGGGCAUCCUUUCAACAAGUGUGCUGGCCUUUUGAUGUGUGUCAGGGAUCUCAGGGCUGUGGGUUUGCAGCCUAAACAACAGACAUGGUCAUUGCUAUCAUGUAGCUUACAAUCUGCUGGAGGAGACUGGACAAAGAGAAAGGGGUAAUGACCCCAGAGCUGGUCCCCAUCUCCCCAGCCCUGCCUCGCCCCCAGUGGUCAGCCCUCCAGUGGGGAGCAGAGCACCAGGGGGAAGACACCUGCUGGGGCCACGUGCCUUACUAAUGAGAUUUCCCAACCACGUAUCUAGUAGAGUGUAUUCCAUGUUUAAAGUAUCAAAUAAAGUCCAGUGAGGAAAGUCUAGUGACGUUGCUAUUGUUUGAUCCCUGUCUUACACUUGAGGACACUGAAGCUCAAGAAGGGCAAAGACUCUCCAUGUAGGAAGGGCGGGAAGGUUCACUUCCUGUGUUGGGGGUGGCUGCUCCAUUGGAGCCUGUCUUCUUGCUGUGGCACUGAUAGCCACUAGCCAUUUAAAGUUAAAAUUUAGCAUUUCAGUGUUUGGCCACACCACAUUUCAAGUACUCAGUAGCCACAGGUGGCCAGUGGCUGCUGUAUCAGAUAGUGCAGAUACAGAACAUUUCCAACAUCAUGGAGAAUUCUAUUAGUGCUGCUCUAAAACAGAGGUCACCAAACCUCUGCCACAUCUGGCCCACUGCCUGUUUUUAUAAGUAAAGUUUUAUUGUGCCACAUCCAUGCUUAUUCAUUUACAUACUGCCUAUGUCUGCUUUUUGCAGAAAGUUCUACUGGACAGCACUGCUCUAGAGCUAAGUUUAGCAAACUCCACCCAUGGGCCAAAUCUGGACCACUGCCUAUUUUUAUAAAGUUUUAUUGAAACACAAACCCAUGUAUUCAUUUACAUAUUGCCUAAGGCCGCUCUCUGAACUAUAGCAGCAGAGGUGAGUGAUUGUGACAAAGAUCGUCUGGCCCACAAAGCUUAAAAUAUUUACUGUCUUGCCCUUCAUAGAAAGUUUGCCGACCCUUUCUUUAGAGAAGGUCUUACGGCACAAUUUGACAAUUAUUGAUCUAAAACUCAUUCUCAAAGUGUGGUUUCUGAACCAAUAGCAUCAGCAUCACCUGGGAACGUGUUAGAAAUACAAGUUCUUGGGUCCCACCCCAGGCCUGCUGAAUCAGAAACGCUGGAGGUGGGGCCUGGGCUCUCAUUUCACCAGCCUUCCAGGUGAUUCUGAUGCAUGUUCAAGGUGGAAACCACUGUCCCAAAACACAGAGCAAACGCCAACAAGUGACUGGUACGGUGAAGGUGCGAAUGGGCUCCUGUGGGUAACAAGAGUUUGGAAAGAUGCCAAGAGAGUGAUAGCCCAUCUGCUGCCUGGUCCCUCGGCAGCAAAACCUUUGACAGACGGUCCACAGAGGCCGCGCCAACCAGGGGAGGACCCUGUACCAGCCACUGGCGCCAUGCUCAGGCCCCACUGCCGUCGGCCCCGCCCUCCCACGGAGUUGUCAGCACAUUUGGAGCUGCCUCCACACAUAAAUUCAUGGACCAGCUGUCUCUUUUAAUCUGGUUGCAAGAUGAAACCAUUAAUAGAUGUCAGACACAUUGGCAAUGAUCUCUUCAUUAAUAAUUUCCUACUUUCUGAGGAAAAAGAAAUUAGUAACAAGCAACCAUCAAUAAUUCAAAAAUACAAGUUAACCUUUCUAUUAGCAGAGUGACUGUGCACACGCCGCAGACGCUUUCAGAGCCAGUAGUUCUGGUUUGAGUAAUGUUUUGAUGGCAGGAAUAUUAAUAUGCAUUAAUGCUGUCAAGAUGUGCAAAUAUAAAUAACCCAAAUGCAACUUAGAAAUCUUAAGUAUUUUCAGGUUUAACCUCAUGAUCCAACCAUUUUUUCUGUUUAAAAAAAAAAGCAUGUAGUAUCCAGUAAUAUCACUCCGUUCAAAAGGAGGACUUCAUAAUGGAAUCCAUUUCCAGUUUGAGGUCCUUGUGGUUAGAAAGAUUUCCCUGAAGCUUUACCGAUACUGCCGAUCAGUAAUUUCUCCCUCCAAAGUUCUGCCUCCUGGGGAAGUAAGAGCCGGGAUGCCCUUCCAGGUAACCUUCGUCUGGAGAUUGGGUGUGCUCCAGGUAAGCGUUCUCAAUUUCUUAAAACCCUUCGCAUUCCUCUUCUGAUAGAUUUUCAGGCCCAUGGCACCUGGUUCCUCUUCUCAGCCAUGCUCCAUUUUGAUAAUGUCCCUCUUCCGGGGAGGACUUGCACCUGCCUGCAUUCUCCACACCUCCAUUUACCACCCAAGUGACCACACACUCGUCACUUUCCCUCUCCAAAUGUGUUUCCCCAUCUGUGAAAUUGGGUGAUUAUUCCCACCUCGCUGAGCUGAGUGAGAAUUAAGUGAGUUAAUGGAUGUGAACACGCCUAGUACAGGGCCAGCCCACUCAGUAGUCCAUUUCCCUUCCUUUCUUCCCACUUCCAAGUCUUAAAUUCACCAGAGCACCCCAGCUUUGACUCUAGGCCAACUGUCAUAGACACCUGGACAACAGCAUGGCACGGGAGGCCAGCUGCUGCUUCCUUGGGCCAAAAUACCAGCACAUGGUCCAGAUUGUUGCCAAGUAGACCUCAGUGUCUGAGGUGCCCCGGAUUUAAUGCCAGCACUGCAUCUCACCCAAGUGGCAUCUGCCAAACAGCUGUUUCUGGUAAUUUUUUUAAAAAGCUAAGUGAUGUGUGGCAGGUACCCAUCACAAGUGUUUUCACUUCUGACUGACACCUGGCCUCAUUGCCGGGUAGUGGGGAUGUUAAGAUAAAGUGAUCCCAUCUGCAAGGCGCCCACAGUCCGCCCACACUGAGAGGUCACCCAAGCACACUGGGGACAGGGUGGUGUUAGAGUCAGGGGUUGAAUAAUGGAUGUCAAACAUGAUUGAGAUAUGGCCCCAAGCUUUACUUCUUGCUUCCAGCAAAGCGGCUUCUCUGAUGAAGCAGGCGAAAAGCCACCAUUCUUGCAACAGCUUGGUGCCCUGGAGUUGAGCACAUGCCUUUUCAGAGCACUGAGAUCCCCGCAAGACCUUCAGCCCUGGCCAGGUGCGGUGGCUCAUGCCUGUAAUCCCAGCACGUUAGGAGGCUGAGGCAGGUGGAUCACCUGAGGUCAGGAGAUCUAGACCAUUGUGGCCAACAUGGUGAAACCCCGUCUCUAGUAAAAAUCCAAAAAUUAGCUGGGGGUGGUGGCACGUGCCUGUAGUCCCAGCUACUCAGGAGGCUGAGGCAUGAGAGUUGCUUGAAUCAGGGAGUCAGAGGUUGCAGUGAGCCGAGAUCGCACCACUGCACUCCAGCCUGGUGGCAGAGCAAGACUCCAUCUCAAAAAAAAAAAAAGGCCUUCAGCCUUUCUCCUGGUCCCUGACUCCCAACUCAGAUUCCAGAAUGUCUGUGAACCUGUUGCUUCUCCCCACCCCCGCUGCAGCAACCUUAGCUCUGACUUAGCUUCUUAUUGCCUGAAGUCUUGUCCCUCCCAACCGCUCCCCACACACAGCAACCAGAGUGGUUGUUCAAGAAGACAGUCACUCCACAACCUGUUGCUCACCAGCUUAAAACCCUUCACUAAUGCCCCCACUGCCCUCAGCAUGAAGUCCACAAUCCUUACCAUAACCAACAAGACUCUCCACUGGCUGGGCCCAGCCUGCCGUUUUUUGUUUGUUUGGAGACAGAGUCUUGCUCUUUCUUUCACCCAGGCUGGAGUGCAGUGGUGUGAUCUCCGCUCACUGCAACCUCCACCUCCCGGGUUCAAGCAAUUCUCGUGCCUCACCCUCCCAAGUAGCUGGGAUUAUAGGUGUGUGCCACCACGCCUGGCUAAUUUUUGUAUUUUUAGUAGAGAUGGGGUUUUGCCAUGUUGCCCAGGCUAGUCUUGAACUCCUGGCCUCAAACAAUCCCCCCACCUCAGCGUCCCAAAGUGCUGGGAUUACAGGUGUGACCACCACGCUCGGCCCAGCCUGCCUUUCUAAGCCUAUCCCCUCCCUAACUCACCUUGGACCACCCCUCACCAAAGGGAAGUCUUCCCAGGUAGAGAAGAAAAGAAGGGCAUUCCAGGUGGCUGGAACAGCCUAGGCAAGUACUCAGAGAUCUGAAAGAGUCUGCAAGUUCAAAGAGGCAAAGCUGAGACCUAAGCGCAAUGCUCUCUGUUCUCUCAUUUCAUUUCCUGCCCGCUCCAUUUACCCUGUGCUCCAAGCCGCACACGACAACUGUCCAUUACCUCCCUCUGGGCCUCUGCCCAUGUAGUUUCUUCUCUCUGGAAUGCCAAAAUCAAAAGCAGCAUCCUUCCUUAUCCAGGCAUCUAAAUCUUUAUCCUUCAAGGCUCAGCAUUGGGCAGGAUCUGUGGGCUGGACUGUAGUGGGCUGGAUGAAGAAUUAGUGAAUUCCAUCCUUAUUGGAACCAUCUGCAGAUCCGCCUUCUCCACCAGGGUGACAGCAUUGAGGGAUGCCACUACUGUCUUACACACCCUCACGUCCCCAAAGCCAACCCAGCAUGGCAUACAGCAAGCACUCAAUACAUACGGGUUAAGACUAGGGCCAAAUUUGCCUACCAGGGCCAUGUACAUUCUGCAUGAGCUAUUAUCAAACAGAAGGGACAGUGACCCAUUUAUCAAGAUCUAUGGGGAAAUCAACUCAUGAGCAAGACCCCAGCAAGGCUCUCGGGUGUGCAGGAUGAGAUGAUGGGGUGGUGCUUCCCCACUGUGUCUGGUCCUGAGAACCACCAGGAACUCUGUUAAUAACUCACGUUCCCCAGACUGAUAAACCCAGUGCUUCAGGGAAGAGCCUGGACAUCUGUCCUUUUUAUCAGACUGAAUCUCACAAAAGGUCAUAACUUGGUGAUUCUGUCCAGGCCAAUGCAGAACCUGUCCUCUGGUCAGACUGCCAGAAGCACCUGGCCUGGGGGCUCAAAGUAGUAACAGGGCUGUCCACGGCAGGAAGAAACCACGGUAAAGUCCCCAGAGGCUUUAGUGGCCUGUCUGCCCAUGGCACUGAGCCUCUUCUAGUGAGGCCCGAGUCCCAGGCACAGCAGAUGCCAACCUCUGAGAAAGAAAAGGCACCAAGAGACUUGAAGCAGAAAUGAUACAGAAAGAACGCCUCAUGUUUAUAGAAACUUCUGCAAACUUUCUUCAGACCUCUGGUUUACAGAGUUGGCUUAAUUAGAAUUCUUGGUUCUUAAUAUACUUUCAUGAUGUUUUCCUGCAUAGCCCUCUCUUAUUAAUAUUAUUAGGUUUGCUACUUUGUGUUAUGGCAUGUAAUUGUUAUUUUAUUUUCAUUAUCUUAUUAUAUUUUGAUAAGCGCCUAGAGAUCUUCCAUAACAACCACUCCCUGAUAGUAACAGAGUUCUGCUCACUACACUUCAUCCCUGCAAUGAUGUACAAAGAAAAUUUGGGCUGGCAAGAGGACCUUCAGGAGAGACCCCAGAGCCCGUUUGUUCCUGGAUUUCUGCUGCAGUGGUUCUCAACCCCUCUGCGUAUGAGAACCACCUGGGACCCCACCCUCAGCCACUGAUUUGAGUAGGCCCCAAGCAACAGUAUUUUUAAAUCUUCCCCAAUUAUUUCUACCAAGAACACUGCAAGGACUCCUCAGAGUUCUCCCCACCCCCAGGCAGGUGACAUAUAAAUCAUCUAAGAAGUUUUUGGGGGAACAGCUACACAGAGCUCUACCCACCUGUCCUUAGAACCUAAUAUACUUUCCUAAAGAUGCCCCCCCACUUGCUCACCUUAGGGGAUCCCUGCACAUGGGACCCAUGCUACUGAAGAGGGUGUGCUGGGCAAGUGGCCGACAUACUUCUCAAUGUGGGGGCCGGGACCACACCUGCACCAGAACCGGGCUGUUUGUUAAUUAUGCAUGGAGCUGAAUCAGCAUUUCUGGAGGUUGAGGCUCAGGAAUUUGCAUUUCUAACAGGCACCCCAGGUGAUUCUCAGGCACACAGGAGUUUGUGAAUGGCUGAUGCAGUGUUAGGGACAAGGAAAGUUGAGAGCCUCCAGGCACAACUCCAGGGCUGCCAGGCCAGGCAAGACUCUUCUUCUUAUGAAUGACGGACACCCAACUCAAACAAGCUUAAGUGAAGAGAGGAACCCAGUGGCUUACUUAGCUGAGCACUUCAUGAGCACCUUCAGGCAAAGCUGGAUCUAGCUCCUGGACUUUUUAAAAUUCCUGGAAUUGUGUCUCUCUAUCAUGGGGCUGGUACUAUUACCAUAUGUUUCAGAAAACAGCAUCUGUGUACGAAGCAUUUUAUUAUACAACACAGAAAUACAUUUCACCCCAAAUGAUAGCAGUGAACCUCAGCCCACAGAAUCUCCUUCUCGCCUUCAUGAAACAGAGCUGGGAUGAUGGCAGAGGACU
Molecule: long non-coding RNA, 6480 nt
Organism: Symphalangus syndactylus (siamang)
Lineage: Eukaryota; Metazoa; Chordata; Mammalia; Primates; Hylobatidae
Source: RefSeq, a predicted model, not a curated record